Molecule: ribosomal RNA, 468 nt
Filed under: uncultured bacterium
Lineage: Bacteria
Description: partial 16S ribosomal RNA
Rfam family: Bacterial small subunit ribosomal RNA
Source: RNAcentral
GACGAACGCUGGCGGCGUGCUUAACACAUGCAAGUCGAACGGUGAAGCUCCAGCUUGCUGGAGUGGAUCAGUGGCGAACGGGUGAGUAACACGUGAGCAACCUGCCCCUGACUCUGGAAUAAGCGCUGGAAACGGCGUCUAAUACUGGAUACGAGAAGGGUCCGCAUGGGCACUUUCUGGAAAGUUUUUCGGUUGGGGAUGGGCUCGCGGCCUAUCAGCUUGUUGGUGAGGUAAUGGCUCACCAAGGCGACGACGGGUAGCCGGCCUGAGAGGGCGACCGGCCACACUGGGAAUGAGACACGGCCCAGACUCCUACGGGAGGCAGCAGUGGGGAAUAUUGCACAAUGGGCGAAAGCCUGAUGCAGCGACGCCGCGUGAGGGAUGACGGCCUUCGGGUUGUAAACCUCUUUCAGCAGGGAAGAAGCGAAAGUGACGGUACCUGCAGAAGAAGCACCGGCUAACUACGUG